Molecule: transfer RNA, 75 nt
Filed under: Sphaerodactylus townsendi
Lineage: Eukaryota; Metazoa; Chordata; Lepidosauria; Squamata; Sphaerodactylidae
Description: tRNA-Ala
Source: RNAcentral
GGAAGAGUCAUAGCUCAGCGGUAGAGCAUUUCCGUGGCAGGCAGGAGGUCCUAGGUUCAAUUUCUGGUACCUCCA